Octopus sinensis (East Asian common octopus) is the source of this 77-nucleotide long non-coding RNA. RefSeq lists it as uncharacterized. Lineage: Eukaryota; Metazoa; Mollusca; Cephalopoda; Octopoda; Octopodidae. The record is from RefSeq and is a predicted model, not a curated record. The transcript is spliced from 3 exons.
AAUGUCUUUUGAAGACGUUGGUUUAAAAAACCACAUCAGAUGACAUGAUGGCUCUAAAGUGUAGGUACAAGAGGCGG